Molecule: non-coding RNA, 555 nt
Organism: Arachis ipaensis
Lineage: Eukaryota; Viridiplantae; Streptophyta; Magnoliopsida; Fabales; Fabaceae
Source: RefSeq, a predicted model, not a curated record
GAACCUGUAAUGUCAUUAGCUGCACAGCCAGUUUCAAAAGAUUCUGGAGGGCAAUUUUCAAAAGCUUUGAAUCGCUUCCAGAAAGAGGAUCCUACAUUCCGUUUUGGUUUAGACCCAGAGAGUGGGCAGUUUGUCAAUUUCAAUUUUUAUUCCUUUCCCCUCGUGCUAUGGUUGUUGAUUCAAUACGAACUCUUGAUCCUAUUAACACUUGGCCAGACAAAAAGGCCUAUAAUGAGACACUCUUGAAGCUUGCUGGGUUGUUUCAGAGGAAUCUUGAGACAUUCACCAAUCACAAGAUUGACAAGGACAACAAACUCACUGAAGAGAUUUUGGCAGCUGGACCAGUGUUUUAAAAAUGGAGAAUGCAUGCUGUGUUAAAGUGGGGGUGGCUGGGAUUCAAGAUUAUUAUUAUUAAGAAAUAUAUAUAUAUAUAUUGCAUUUCUAAUAAUAAUUUUGAUUUCAUUGGUUUGGUUUUAGGCAUAUGUAAAGUUGGAGUGUUGUUACAUUUCUAAAUUUUUCACAUGAAUGGACUUCACUGCUUCUCAUUCUACUGUC